This 225-nucleotide non-coding RNA is filed under the name Clostridium tepidiprofundi. RNAcentral describes it as "GlcN6P sequence". It matches the Rfam family "glmS glucosamine-6-phosphate activated ribozyme aptamer". From Rfam's summary of the family: This entry contains a glucosamine-6-phosphate activated ribozyme that is found in the mRNA for GlmS. GlmS is an enzyme that uses fructose-6-phosphate and glutamine to generate glucosamine-6-phosphate. The ribozyme catalyses self cleavage of the glmS mRNA that is thought to regulate GlmS activity. Lineage: Bacteria; Bacillati; Bacillota; Clostridia; Eubacteriales; Clostridiaceae. RNAcentral also lists the same sequence under 1 other name. The record is from RNAcentral.
AUUAAAAUAUAAGCGCCAGGAGUUAGGUGAGGUUAAAAUCUUACUUAGAGUAUUUUCAAAAAAGCUAGCAUUUUUGACCUGCUAAUUUUUUAAAUGCCUACUUAACUUGACGAGGAUAGGGAAUAUCGAAAUUUUCGGCGGAUGCCCUACGGUAUAGCACUACCGUUAAAGAUCAAUCAAAACCAAAGAGCGAUUUUUGGGACAAAAUUGAUCGGGUGCUAAUAU